ACGGUGGCACGAGUUUUUAUCGUUUCCUCGUCUUGGGUCCGUCCGAAGCCGAACGAUGUCAGGCUGGACCACACCGU
RNAcentral lists this non-coding RNA (77 nucleotides) under unclassified sequences. Its description in RNAcentral is "CyVA-1 RNA". It matches the Rfam family "CyVA-1 RNA". From Rfam's summary of the family: Cyanobacteria, Acidobacteria (1 example), Verrucomicrobia (1 example). The record is from Rfam by way of RNAcentral.